UUGCAAUUUGAAAAACUUUGGGCAAUUAAAAAGGAGAAAACGAGUUGAGGAAGAAAGAGGGGCUGCAAUUGAUAGAUACAUACCAACAGAAAACGCAAGAGAGGGACAAGUCCGCCGAAGGCUCAAUUGAAGACACAAAACGUCAGAAUAAAAGAACAAGUCGGCCUGUUGCUGAGGGAUAAUUAGUGGGCUACAAAGUUGAAUUAAACACACAUAUAUAUACCCACAUAAAGCUGAAAGUGGGAGGAGGAUUGGAGUGCCUUUUUGAUAAUCAAACAUUGGGCAACAAGAUUGGAAUAAACCAUAUAAAUUCAUAGAAAACACAAGCUGCUGAGGAUUGGAAUUGUAUACAAAAAGUGGCGGCUGGAAUUGAUUUUGGAAUUUAGAUUACAAGUGGCGGCUGCUGGGGAAAUAUAUACAUAUUUUACACGCAUGCAAGCCCGGAAUUGGAUACAUCUACACGGUAAAAGAGAACAGUUUGGAGACGGAAUUGGGCUGAAAUUUUGAUACGUGUAUUAAUCACGUUUCGUCGAUUUUUGGUGAUAUCUUUUAUCCUUUGUUGUUUAAUUUCAACAUUCUGCUCGGCU
This 587-nucleotide long non-coding RNA is filed under the name Olea europaea (common olive). RNAcentral's name for it is "long non-coding RNA (OEUR_LNC012076)". Lineage: Eukaryota; Viridiplantae; Streptophyta; Magnoliopsida; Lamiales; Oleaceae. The record is from RNAcentral.